RNAcentral lists this ribosomal RNA (409 nucleotides) under bacterium. RNAcentral describes it as "partial 16S ribosomal RNA". It matches the Rfam family "Bacterial small subunit ribosomal RNA", at positions 355 to 776 of the family's 1533-position model. The record is from RNAcentral.
UGGGGAAUAUUGCACAAUGGGCGAAAGCCUGAUGCAGCGACGCCGCGUGAGGGAUGACGGCCUUCGGGUUGUAAACCUCUUUCAGCAGGGACGAAGUGCAAGUGACGGUACCUGCAGAAGAAGCACCGGCUAACUACGUGCCAGCAGCCGCGGUAAUACGUAGGGUGCAAGCGUUGUCCGGAAUUACUGGGCGUAAAGAGUUCGUAGGCGGUUUGUCGCGUCGUUUGUGAAAACCAGCAGCUCAACUGCUGGCUUGCAGGCGAUACGGGCAGACUUGAGUACUGCAGGGGAGACUGGAAUUCCUGGUGUAGCGGUGAAAUGCGCAGAUAUCAGGAGGAACACCGGUGGCGAAGGCGGGUCUCUGGGCAGUAACUGACGCUGAGGAACGAAAGCGUGGGUAGCGAACAGG